AACGAACGCUGGCGGCGUGUUUAAGACAUGCAAGUCGCACGGGAUGAGACAUGUAGUAAUACUUGUUUUAUUUAGUGGCGCACGGGUGAGUAACACGUGAAUUACAUGCCCUAUAGUGGGGAAUAGCCCAGGGAAACUUGGAUUAAUACCCCAUGGUAUCGAAAGAUUAAAGGUGGCCGCAAGGCUGUCGCUAUAGGAUUGGUUCGCGCCCUAUCAGCUUGUUGGUGAGGUAACGGCUCACCAAGGCAAUGACGGGUACCUGGUCUGAGAGGACGAUCAGGGACACUUGAACUGAGACACGAUCCAGACACCUACGGGUGGUAGCAGUCAAGAAUAAUUCACAAUGAGGGCAACCCUGAUGGUGCAACGCCGCUUGGAGGAUGACGGUCUUCGGAUUGUAAACUCCUGUCAUCUGGGAGAAAGACCUGACGGUAAAUAGCCGGCAGGGUUGAUAGUACCAGAAGUGGAAGGGACGGCUAACUUCGUGCCAGCAGCCGCGGUAA
RNAcentral lists this ribosomal RNA (503 nucleotides) under uncultured bacterium. Its description in RNAcentral is "partial 16S ribosomal RNA". It matches the Rfam family "Bacterial small subunit ribosomal RNA", at positions 29 to 523 of the family's 1533-position model. The record is from RNAcentral.